CCUUCGAUAGCUCAGUUGGUAGAGCGGAGGACUGUAGAGGCUUACAGCUGAAAUCCUUAGGUCGCUGGUUCGACUCCGGCUCGAAGGA
This 88-nucleotide transfer RNA is filed under the name Xiphophorus maculatus (southern platyfish). It matches the Rfam family "tRNA". From Rfam's summary of the family: Transfer RNA (tRNA) molecules are approximately 80 nucleotides in length. Lineage: Eukaryota; Metazoa; Chordata; Actinopteri; Cyprinodontiformes; Poeciliidae. The record is from Rfam by way of RNAcentral.